AUUGAACGCUGUCGGUAGGCCUAACACAUGCAAGUCGAUCGGCCGCACUGUACUAGCUUGCUUUUACAGCUGGCGACUGGCGGGCCAUUCCUGAAAACCUCCCUCUCUACUUUGUCUUACGUUCUUACACAGGGUCUCUUACGCUAUUUCCUCAUACGUCCAACGGGUGGAAUCUGGGGAUCUUCCGCCCUUCCCUGAUCCUAUGCCCCGUUCUCUGAUUAGCUAGUUGGCGGGGUAAAGGGCUACCAAGGCGACGAUCCGUAGCUGGUCUGAGAGGAGGAUCAGGCACACUGGAACUGAGACAAGGUCCAGACUCCUACGGGAGGCAGCAGUGGGGAAUAGUGGACAAUGGGCGCAAGCCUGAUCCAGACAUACCGAGUGGGUGAAGAAGGCCUUCGGAUUGUAAAGCACUUUUAGUGGGAAAGAAAAGCAGUAGGUUAAUACCUCGCUGUUCUGACGGUACCAAAAGAAUAAGCACCGGAUAACUUCGUG
This 492-nucleotide ribosomal RNA is filed under the name uncultured bacterium. RNAcentral describes it as "partial 16S ribosomal RNA". It matches the Rfam family "Bacterial small subunit ribosomal RNA", at positions 30 to 507 of the family's 1533-position model. The record is from RNAcentral.